UGGGGAAUCUUGCACAAUGGACGAAAGUCUGAUGCAGCGAUCCCGCGUGAAGGAUGAAGCCCUAUGGGGUGUAAACUUCUUUUUUGGUUGAAGAAGAAUGACGGUAAACCAAGAAUAAGAGACGGCUAACUACGUGCCAGCAGCCGCGGUAAUACGUAGGUCUCGAGCGUUAUCCGGAUUUACUGGGCGUAAAGUGUCCGUAGCCUGAUGUAUAAGUCUGUUUUCAAAUCCCUCGACUUAAUCGAGGAAAGGGGAUAGAUACUGUAUAUCUAGAGAUUGUUAGAGGUUAGUGGAAUUUCCUGUGGAGCGGUGAAAUGUGUUGAUAUAGGAAAGAAUGCCGAAAGCGAAAGCAGCUAACUAUGAUAAAUCUGACGGUGAGGGACGAAAGCUUGGGUAGCAAACGGG
RNAcentral lists this ribosomal RNA (405 nucleotides) under uncultured bacterium. RNAcentral describes it as "bacterial SSU rRNA". It matches the Rfam family "Bacterial small subunit ribosomal RNA", at positions 355 to 776 of the family's 1533-position model. The record is from RNAcentral.